Molecule: ribosomal RNA, 483 nt
Filed under: uncultured bacterium
Lineage: Bacteria
Description: partial 16S ribosomal RNA
Rfam family: Bacterial small subunit ribosomal RNA
Source: RNAcentral
GAUGAACGCUAGCGGCAGGCCUAAUACAUGCAAGCCGAACGGCAAGUUUGAUGCCAAUAUUGGACCUCGAGUGGCGCACGGGUGCGUAACACGUCUGCAACCUUCCCGCGACAGGAGGAUAGCUCCCCGAAGCGGGAAUUAACCCUCCAUCACACCAUGAGAGGGAAUCUGGUUAUGUUUAAACCGCAGGGGGUCGCGGAUGGGCUUGCGGUUGAUUAGCUAGUUGGCGGGGUAAAGGCCCACCAAGGCGGUGAUCAAUAGGGGUUGUGGGAGGAACGUCACUGAGACUGGCACUGGGACACGGGCCAGACGGGUGCGGGAAGUAGCAGUAGGGAAUAUUGGACAAAGGGUGCGAGACAGAUACAGCCAUGCUGCGUGCAGGACGAAGGGGUUGUGGGUCGUAUACUGCUUGAUCCAGAGGAUAAAACAUCCGUGGGUGGGGAAUUGAAGGUACCAGGAGAAUAAGCAACGGCUAACUACGUG